GCCUUGCUAGCUCAAUCGGUAGAGCGUGCGUGAGACUCUUAAUCUCAAGGUUGCGUCAAGGUUGCGGGUUCGACCCCCGCGUGAGGCU
This 88-nucleotide transfer RNA is filed under the name Colletotrichum fructicola Nara gc5. Its description in RNAcentral is "tRNA-Lys for anticodon CUU". It matches the Rfam family "tRNA". From Rfam's summary of the family: Transfer RNA (tRNA) molecules are approximately 80 nucleotides in length. Their secondary structure includes four short double-helical elements and three loops (D, anti-codon, and T loops). Lineage: Eukaryota; Fungi; Ascomycota; Sordariomycetes; Glomerellales; Glomerellaceae. The record is from RNAcentral.